CUACGGGUUGCAGCAGUGAGGAAUAUUGCACAAUGGGGGGAACCCUGAUGCAGCAACGCCGCGUGGAGGAUGACGCCUUUCGGUGUGUAAACUCCUUUUAUAUGUCAAGAAAAUGACGGUAGCAUAUGAAUAAGCACCGGCUAACUCCGUGCCAGCAGCCGCGGUAAUACGGAGGGUGCAAGCGUUACUCGGAAUCACUGGGCGUAAAGGACGCGUAGGCGGGUUGGAAAGUCAGGUGUGAAAUCCUACAGCUUAACUGUAGAACUGCACUUGAAACUUCUAAUCUAGAGUAUGGGAGGGGGAGAUGGAAUUAGUGGUGUAGGGGUAAAAUCCGUAGAUAUCACUAGGAAUACCUAAAGCGAAGGCGAUCUCCUGGAACGAUACUGACGCUAAGGCGUGAAAGCGUGGGGAGCAAACAGGAUUAGAUACCCUAGUAGUC
This 439-nucleotide ribosomal RNA is filed under the name uncultured bacterium. RNAcentral describes it as "partial 16S ribosomal RNA". It matches the Rfam family "Bacterial small subunit ribosomal RNA", at positions 339 to 795 of the family's 1533-position model. The record is from RNAcentral.